GAGCGCAGAAGCCCAGUCGGCUGCAGCCCCUGUCGUGCUGGCCGAUCACCGUCACCGACCUAGAGCGCCCGGGCGCAGUGCCCGCCCGCUGGUGCGCUCAGCGCUGUGCCCUGCGGAGAAGAAAGACGAAAACCACUCGCUCCUUCCCACAAAGAAGGAACCCUGGCGGCCAGGGUGAGACGUCUCCCCGGCCAGCACCGGGAGGCCAGGGGCACCCAGCAGGCUCGGGGUGCAAGGCCCGCCCCAGGAAAAGGCAGAGUGGGAGAAGGGCGGCGAAAGGGGGACGGGCGCAAAGAAGGAAGCUGAGAAGGGUACCUUCUUGGAGGGCUCUUGGAAUUAAACAAGAGGGUAAGAAGCUCAACAAAUGGCAGGUAUUUGCAUUUACAAUCUCUUAUCUAUUAAGUCCCAAAUCCAAAAACCUCUGAAAACC
Molecule: long non-coding RNA, 430 nt
Filed under: Dasypus novemcinctus (nine-banded armadillo)
Lineage: Eukaryota; Metazoa; Chordata; Mammalia; Cingulata; Dasypodidae
Description: lncRNA (ENSDNOG00000051928.1)
Source: RNAcentral